This 573-nucleotide unclassified non-coding RNA is filed under the name Hevea brasiliensis (rubber tree). The record is from RNAcentral. Lineage: Eukaryota; Viridiplantae; Streptophyta; Magnoliopsida; Malpighiales; Euphorbiaceae.
GAAUUUAGAUAGCGGCGAAGCUGAGCAUCAGGAUGCAAGUGCUAGUGAUGGUGGGGCACAGGAAAAUGGAUUUGAAUUUCCUCCAGUGCCUAGCCAAAUAUCACUGCCACCUAUUGCUUCAAGCAACACUGGGCGAUCAACGUCUUUCAAAUCGAGAUUAGGCCUAUUAAGUGGGAGAAGUUUGGUGGCUUGCACUUUGAGAAGGUGGUCAAGCGGUAAUAGUUCGCGAAGUUAAUUUAGAUUGAGGACUGAGAGAAGUUGCAGGGCAGAAAAAUGGGUUCUUGCUCUUGGUCUGUUUGCAUUAUUUUGCAUUGUAUCUGAUUCCAUAUUUUAUGUACUGAAUUUGAUAUUGGCGUGCUGUUUGUUGCCUUUUCAACCGAAUAUUCAUUUGCAAAAAGUCAUCAUCUCUACUUGCCUAUAAUGCUGUUCAUUUUUGUUGAGUUUAUCUGCAAGUUUUACAGCAACUGAAAUAGUGGCGUUGUUAAUAUCUGGAUCAACAGCACAUGUGAAAUACAUUUAAUUAGAUUAAAACAUAACCUGUAAGUGUAUUUCACAUGUGCUGUUGAUCCAGAU